AGAAACAAGGCAGUGGAGAAGUGGUGGAGCAUGGAGCCUACAAUGGCUAUCUGGAGGGUGUUAGUGAUGACGUCGUGGAUUUGGUGUUUGGUCCAUCUGGCAUGUAUUAAGGAGGCAGCAACCUUCCAAGCAUCUAAAUCCAUCCAUCAAAACUUCUACAUCUUGGUCAGAUUUGGGUUUUGGAUUUUGUUAAUUCACUUAGAACUUUAAACCUAGUCUUCGCAGUUUGUUUUGAUUUGGAGUCUUGAUUUGAACGUGACUUGUGGGUGAACUUUUAUGAGUACUUCACUAGCUUCUAGUUUGUAACUAGUACUGUAUAGAUCAGUUUUUAAAUAACGUCUCCUGGGGCUCUAUUGCUCUCAGAAGAGUCUGCCUUUUUUUUUUUUU
This is a long non-coding RNA of Vitis vinifera (wine grape), 387 nucleotides long. RefSeq lists it as uncharacterized. The transcript is spliced from 2 exons. The record is from RefSeq and is a predicted model, not a curated record. Lineage: Eukaryota; Viridiplantae; Streptophyta; Magnoliopsida; Vitales; Vitaceae.